GACACGGUGGCAUAGUGGGUAAGUGUGCUUGACUUGGGACCAAAAGGUCCUGAGUCCGAGUCCUUGCCUUGGCU
Non-coding RNA from Gymnothorax javanicus (giant moray), 74 nucleotides. Lineage: Eukaryota; Metazoa; Chordata; Actinopteri; Anguilliformes; Muraenidae. The record is from the annotation of a GenBank genome assembly.